Molecule: ribosomal RNA, 301 nt
Filed under: uncultured bacterium
Lineage: Bacteria
Description: partial 16S ribosomal RNA
Rfam family: Bacterial small subunit ribosomal RNA
Source: RNAcentral
CAGUAGCCGCGGUAAAACGAAGGGUGCAAGCGUUACUCGGAAUUACUGGGCGUAAAGCGUGCGUAGGUGGUGGUUUAAGUCCGUUGUGAAAGCCCUGGGCUCAACCUGGGAAUUGCAGUGGAUACUGGGUCACUAGAGUGUGGUAGAGGAUAGUGGAAUUUCCGGUGUAGCAGUGAAAUGCGUAGAGAUCGGAAGGAACAUCUGUGGCGAAGGCGACUAUCUGGGCCAACACUGACACUGAGGCACGAAAGCGUGGGGAGCAAACAGGAUUAGAUACCCCGGUAGUCCCUGUCUCUUAUAC